GCCCAGGUGGUGGAAUUGGUAGACACAAGGGACUUAAAAUCCCUCGAAGGAAACUUCGUGCCGGUUCAAGUCCGGCCCUGGGCACCA
This 87-nucleotide transfer RNA is filed under the name Fidelibacterota bacterium. Its description in RNAcentral is "tRNA-Leu". It matches the Rfam family "tRNA". Rfam says of the family: Transfer RNA (tRNA) molecules are approximately 80 nucleotides in length. Their secondary structure includes four short double-helical elements and three loops (D, anti-codon, and T loops). Further hydrogen bonds mediate the characteristic L-shaped molecular structure. tRNAs have two regions of fundamental functional importance: the anti-codon, which is responsible for specific mRNA codon recognition, and the 3' end, to which the tRNAs corresponding amino acid is attached (by aminoacyl-tRNA synthetases). tRNAs cope with the degeneracy of the genetic code in two manners: having more than one tRNA (with a specific anti-codon) for a particular amino acid; and 'wobble' base-pairing, i.e. permitting non-standard base-pairing at the 3rd anti-codon position. The record is from RNAcentral. RNAcentral also lists the same sequence under 1 other name. Lineage: Bacteria; Pseudomonadati; Fidelibacterota.